UCACAUUUUACAAGCUGAAUUCCCCCCUCCUCAACAAUUGGACUGCAUCAGUUCCUGCUAUCUCCCCGCUCGAAGAAGGUGGCAAGUGAGCUGAGAAGGGGCCAGCCUGUGCAGGGGCAUUUGGAUGGGGGAAGGGCAUGUCUGCUGGCAACGAGGGUGAGUAGAUCAGUGCGGCUCAGUGUCUGUGAGGCGGUGAUAAGAUUCCAGGAUUUUCCCAGUGUGACAGGCCUGCUCACCAAGCCGUACACCCCUCUGCAUGGAGACAGCCACCACCACCACCUGCCCCCCUCCUCCACUCCUCGGCUGCUACACCCCAGCAGGCAGGAGCCACUCUCACCUGCAACCACACCCAAAACCUCCUCACCCCAAACUGAAAAUCCUAAUCUGACUCGUGUCGCCUCGUUUCUCUGUUUCAGUCCCCCCCCUCCCCACUCCCUCUCCCUUGGAUGGCAGGUCAGGCAGUGAGCUGUGCGGGCUCAGAGGAGCCAGUGUCUGUUCCGGAGACAAUCCAGGAGUUGGCAUUGCACUUGAUGGCAGAGCUUUGGG
This 546-nucleotide long non-coding RNA is filed under the name Scophthalmus maximus (turbot). Its description in RNAcentral is "lncRNA (ENSSMAG00000027959.1)". The record is from RNAcentral. Lineage: Eukaryota; Metazoa; Chordata; Actinopteri; Pleuronectiformes; Scophthalmidae.